RNAcentral lists this long non-coding RNA (242 nucleotides) under Lathyrus oleraceus (garden pea). Its description in RNAcentral is "Pisum sativum (pea) long non-coding RNA (PSAT_LNC008112)". The record is from RNAcentral. Lineage: Eukaryota; Viridiplantae; Streptophyta; Magnoliopsida; Fabales; Fabaceae.
UUUCAUGAUGAUGUUUAUGAUCCGUUUACCAAGACGUUGAGUUUCCGUUGAUGAUGAAUUAUUGUGGUAAAUUGCUAAUAUAAUUCCAGAUUGUUUCAUUAUCCUGUUUUGAUGACAUGUUGAGUUGAGAUGCAUGGUUUCGAUGUAAAAUUAUCCUGUUGAUGUUGUACAGGAAAUUAUGUGGUUCGAUGUGAUGUUGUUUGUGGUGUUGCAAUUGUUGUGAUAAUUUUGUCGUGAUUGUG